AGAGUUCGAUCCUGGCUUAGGACGAACGCUGGCGGCGUGCUUCAUACAUGCAAGUCGAACGAGAAACUAACUUCGGUUAGUGGAAAGUGGCGGACGGGUGAGUAAUAUGUAGAGAAUCUGCCCUAGAGAGGGGGACAACCGUUGGAAACGACAGCUAAUACCCCAUAUGAGCGUAACUGAAAUGUUAUUCUUGAAAACUCCGGUGCUCUAGGAUGAGUCUGCAUCUGAUUAGCUAGUUGGGGGUGUAAUGGACCACCAAGGCGACGAUCAGUAGCUGGUUUGAGAGGAUGAUCAGCCACAAUGGGACUGAGACACGGCCCAUACUCCUACGGGAGGCAGCAGUAGGGAAUUUUGCGCAAUGGGCGAAAGCCUGACGCCAGCAACGCCGCGUGAUCGAGACGCUUUUCGGAGUGUAAAGAUCUGUCACAGGGGACGAACAAUGACGGUACCCUGAGAGGAAGCACCGGCUAACUCCGUGCCAGCCGCAGC
RNAcentral lists this ribosomal RNA (489 nucleotides) under uncultured bacterium. Its description in RNAcentral is "bacterial SSU rRNA". It matches the Rfam family "Bacterial small subunit ribosomal RNA", at positions 8 to 518 of the family's 1533-position model. The record is from RNAcentral.